CCCUUAGAUGUCCUGGGCAGCACGCGUGCUACAAUGAUGCAUUCAACGAGUCUUGCCUUAACCGAAAGGUUCGGGUAAACUUUUGAAAUUGCAUCUUGUCAGGGCUUGAUCAUUGUAAUUUUUGAUCACAAACAAGGAAUUCCUUGUAAAUGUGAGUCAUCAACUUGCAUUGAAUACGUCCCUGCCCUUUGUACACACCGCCCGUCGCUUCUACCGAUGAAUGAUCCGGUGAACACUCUGGACUUGUUGUCUGUCGGAGCAAUCCAAAGACGAUAGGGAAGUUGUGUAAACCUUAUCAUUUAGAGGAAGAAGAAGUCGUAACA
Molecule: ribosomal RNA, 323 nt
Filed under: uncultured eukaryote
Lineage: Eukaryota
Description: partial 18S ribosomal RNA
Rfam family: Eukaryotic small subunit ribosomal RNA
Source: RNAcentral